AGCAGUGACGUGACACGCAGCCCACGGUCUGUACUGACGCGCCCUCGCUUCUUCCUCUUUCUCGACUCCAUCUUCGCGGUAGCUGGGACCGCCGUUCAGGUGGCCAAACAGGAGAAGAAGAAGAAGAAGACAGGUCGGGCUAAGCGGCGGAUGCAGUACAACCGGCGCUUUGUCAACGUUGUGCCCACCUUUGGCAAGAAGAAGGGCCCCAAUGCCAACUCUUAAGUCUUUUGUAAUUCUGGCUUUCUCUAAUAAAAAAGCCACUUAGUUCAGUC
This 275-nucleotide long non-coding RNA is filed under the name Homo sapiens (human). RNAcentral's name for it is "non-protein coding lnc-SYVN1-1:1". The record is from RNAcentral. Lineage: Eukaryota; Metazoa; Chordata; Mammalia; Primates; Hominidae.